Molecule: ribosomal RNA, 278 nt
Filed under: uncultured Lachnospiraceae bacterium
Lineage: Bacteria; Bacillati; Bacillota; Clostridia; Lachnospirales; Lachnospiraceae
Description: partial 16S ribosomal RNA
Rfam family: Bacterial small subunit ribosomal RNA
Source: RNAcentral
GCAGCCGCGGUAAUACGUAGGGGGCAAGCGUUAUCCGGAUUUACUGGGUGUAAAGGGAGCGCAGACGGAACUGCAAGUCUGAUGUGAAAGCCCGGGGCUCAACCGCGGGACUGCAUUGGAAACUGUAGAUCUGGAGUGCCGGAGGGGCAAGCGGAAUUCCUGGUGUAGCGGUGAAAUGCGUAGAUAUCAGGAGGAACACCGGCGGCGAAGGCGGCUUGCUGGACGGCAACUGACGUUGAGGCUCGAAAGCGUGGGGAGCAAACAGGAUUAGAUACCCC